Vigna radiata var. radiata (mung bean) is the source of this 557-nucleotide long non-coding RNA. RefSeq lists it as uncharacterized. Lineage: Eukaryota; Viridiplantae; Streptophyta; Magnoliopsida; Fabales; Fabaceae. The transcript is spliced from 3 exons. The record is from RefSeq and is a predicted model, not a curated record.
CAAAGAAUCAGACUUUUCCAUUUCUGUUCUUUUAUUUCUUUCUCUAGAUAGAGCUAUUUUCUUUCUAAGAAGAUGCUUUGUCUUCUCUCUAGAAUCUUCCAACACUGAACCGUUUGAGUUGUAUCCUAAAGGUAUCUAAACGUUCGCGGUGCCAAGAGCUAUCCUUUGAACCGAACAGUUUUCUUGUUCGUACCCGGGUCGGUGAGCAUACUGCCGUAUGGGUCGCUGUUAGAGCACCUUGGGUACACUGUUCAGCGCAACCCAUAGAUGGUGAGGAGAUACUUUGGAAACAACUCUUUGAUGGGAGAAGAUGGUGAGGAGAUACUUUGGAAACAACUCUUGAUCGGGAAGGAAAUGCUGCUGCUUAGUUCUCUAAGCUUUAACUAUGUUAUCCUAGGAUAUUUUGAGGAAACUUGUCAUGUUCUAAGUUUUAAACUCUUUGUAAUUUAAGGGAGAAACUUUAGUUCUUCAAGUUUUCCAAAUUGUACAGUUUAAGGAUGACUGUAAUCCUUUAUACUUUAAUCACUCUUCACUGUUUUCCUUUAUUAUAAAUGAUG